AUUGAACGCUGGCGGCAUGCCUUACACAUGCAAGUCGAACGGCAGCACGGGAGCUUGCUCCUGGUGGCGAGUGGCAAACGGGUGAGUAAUACAUCGGAACGUACCCUGAAGUGGGGGAUAACGUAGCGAAAGUUACGCUAAUACCGCAUAUUCUGUGAGCAGGAAAGAGGGGGAUCGCAAGACCUCUUGCUUUAGGAGCGGCCGAUGUCGGAUUAGCUAGUUGGUGAGGUAAAGGCUCACCAAGGCGACGAUCCGUAGCGGGUCUGAGAGGAUGAUCCGCCACACUGGGACUGAGACACGGCCCAGACUCCUACGGAGGCAGCAGUGGGGAAUUUUGGGACAAUGGGCGCAAGCCUGAUCCAGCCAUGCCGCGUGAGUGAAGAAGGCC
RNAcentral lists this ribosomal RNA (388 nucleotides) under uncultured bacterium. RNAcentral describes it as "bacterial SSU rRNA". It matches the Rfam family "Bacterial small subunit ribosomal RNA", at positions 30 to 416 of the family's 1533-position model. The record is from RNAcentral.